CCCUUAGAUGUCCUGGGCCGCACGCGCGCUACACUGAUGCAUUCAACGAGUUUUACCUUGGCCGAGAGGCCUGGGCAAUCUUUUAAACCUUCAUCGUGAUAGGGAUAGAUUAUUACAAUUAUUAAUCUUGAACGAGGAAUUCCUAGUAAACGCAAAUCAUCAAUUUGCAUUGAUUACGUCCCUGCCCUUUGUACACACCGCCCGUCGCACCUACCGAUUGAAUGGUCCGGUGAAGCCUCGGGAUUGUGGCCAGUUCACUUUAUUGGGAGUUGGCUGUGAGAACUUGUCUAAACCUUAUCAUUUAGAGGAAGGUGAAGUCGUAACA
This 325-nucleotide ribosomal RNA is filed under the name uncultured eukaryote. Its description in RNAcentral is "partial 18S ribosomal RNA". It matches the Rfam family "Eukaryotic small subunit ribosomal RNA", at positions 1470 to 1796 of the family's 1831-position model. The record is from RNAcentral.